GAUGAACGCUCGCGGCAGGCCUAACACAUGCAAGUCGAGGGAUAAGCCUUCGGGCUAAGACCGGCGCACGGGUGCGUAACGCGUAUACAAUCUGCCUUUUAUCCGGGGGAUAGCCCGAAGAAAUUUGGAUUAAUACCCUAUGGUAUAAGAGCACGGCAUCGUGCACUUAUUAAAGCUACGGCGGUAAAAGAUGAGUAUGCGUUCUAUUAGCUAGUUGGAGAGGUAACGGCUCCCCAAGGCGACGAUAGAUAGGGGUUCUGAGAGGGAUGUCCCCCACACUGGUACUGAGAUACGGACCAGACUCCUACGGGAGGGAGCAGUGAGGAAUAUUGGACAAUGGUCGGAAGACUGAUCCAGCCAUGCCGCGUGCAGGAUGACGGCCUUAUGGGUUGUAAACUGCUUUUGUAAGGGAAGAAUAAGGAGUACGUGUACUUUGAUGACGGUACCUUACGAAUAAGCAUCGGCUAACUCCGUG
RNAcentral lists this ribosomal RNA (475 nucleotides) under uncultured bacterium. Its description in RNAcentral is "partial 16S ribosomal RNA". It matches the Rfam family "Bacterial small subunit ribosomal RNA", at positions 28 to 507 of the family's 1533-position model. The record is from RNAcentral.